AAUAAUUUUUUAACCAGGGGCCACCUUUUUUAUUCUGGGCCCCACUAAUUCUGCAGCCUAUCACGAUCCCAUUUUACAGAUGACAAAACUGUGGCCUCAGAGCCUUACUCAAGCUCCCAGAGCAAGGUACUACAGAGUUCUCUCUCCAGCCAAGGCAGGCUAACCAGGUCCUGACAUACCUCUGAGCCAGCCCUCACUUUCACCCAUUAACAGCAGGAUAAGGAUCGCCCCUGUAGAACAUGAUUCCUACAGGGAGCCAGGAUCGCUGUUGUCAUUUAAUGUUUGAACACCAGCCGGGGAGGCCCCCAAGGCCUUCAGAUCGGGUCCAAGUCUCAGGGGUGGGCCCUUGACCAGCCACUGCUUCCCACAGGACAACUCAAACUUAUACAUGGUCAUGGAGUACGUGCCCGGCGGGGAGAUGUUCUCACACCUACGGCGGAUCGGAAGGUUCAGCGAGCCCCAUGCCCGUUUCUACGCGGCCCAGAUCGUCCUGACCUUUGAGUAUCUGCACUCGCUGGAUCUCAUCUACAGGGACCUGAAGCCGGAGAAUCUGCUCAUUGACCAGCAGGGCUACAUUCAGGUGACAGACUUCGGUUUCGCCAAGCGCGUGAAGGGCCGCACUUGGACCUUGUGCGGCACCCCUGAGUACCUGGCCCCUGAGAUUAUCCUGAGCAAAGGCUACAACAAGGCCGUGGACUGGUGGGCCCUGGGGGUUCUUAUCUAUGAAAUGGCCGCUGGCUACCCGCCCUUCUUCGCAGACCAGCCCAUCCAGAUCUAUGAGAAGAUCGUCUCUGGGAAGGUGCGGUUCCCUUCCCACUUCAGCUCUGACUUGAAGGACCUGCUGCGGAACCUCCUGCAGGUAGAUCUCACCAAGCGCUUUGGGAACCUCAAGAAUGGGGUCAACGAUAUCAAGAACCACAAGUGGUUUGCCACAACUGACUG
RNAcentral lists this small RNA (942 nucleotides) under Pan troglodytes (chimpanzee). Its description in RNAcentral is "retained intron". The record is from RNAcentral. Lineage: Eukaryota; Metazoa; Chordata; Mammalia; Primates; Hominidae.